AUCACCUAUGGAUCUUGUUAAAAUGCAGAUUCUGAUUAAGUAGGUCUGUGGUGGGACCCACGAAUCUGCAUUUCUGAUAAGUUCCCAGGUGAUGUUGA
Molecule: microRNA precursor, 98 nt
Filed under: Loxodonta africana (African savanna elephant)
Lineage: Eukaryota; Metazoa; Chordata; Mammalia; Proboscidea; Elephantidae
Description: mir-544 microRNA precursor family
Rfam family: mir-544 microRNA precursor family
Source: Rfam by way of RNAcentral